Molecule: ribosomal RNA, 311 nt
Filed under: uncultured bacterium
Lineage: Bacteria
Description: partial 16S ribosomal RNA
Rfam family: Bacterial small subunit ribosomal RNA
Source: RNAcentral
UAAGAGACAGCAGUAGCCGCGGGAAUACAGUGGAUGCAAGCGUUAUCCGGAAUGAUUGGGCGUAAAGCGCGCGCAGGCGGCCUAUCCAGUCUGUCUUAAAAGUUCGGGGCUCAACCCCGUGAUGGGAUGGAAACUAGUAGGCUAGAGUAUCGGAGAGGAAAGCGGAAUUCCUAGUGUAGCGGUGAAAUGCGUAGAUAUUAGGAAGAACACCAGUGGCGAAGGCGGCUUUCUGGACGAAAACUGACGCUGAGGCGCGAAAGCCAGGGGAGCGAACGGGAUUAGAUACCCGAGUAGUCCCUGUCUCUUAUACA